RNAcentral lists this ribosomal RNA (446 nucleotides) under uncultured bacterium. Its description in RNAcentral is "SSU rRNA". It matches the Rfam family "Bacterial small subunit ribosomal RNA", at positions 26 to 518 of the family's 1533-position model. The record is from RNAcentral.
AGAGCGAACGCUGGCGGCAGGCCUAACACAUGCAAGUCGAGCGCCCGUAGCAAUACGGGAGCGGCAGACGGGAUAGUAACACGUGGGAACGCGCCCUUCGGUUCGGAAUAACUCAGGGAAACUUGAGCUAAUACCGAAUACGCCCUUACGGGGAAAGAUUUAUUGCCGAAGGAACGGCCCGCGUCCGAUUAGCUAGUUGGUGAGGUAAUGGCUCACCAAGGCUACGAUCGGUAGCUGGUCUGAGAGGAUGACCAGCAUCACUGGGACUGAGACACGGCCCAGACUCCUACGGGAGGCAGCAGUGGGGAAUAUUGGACAAUGGGCGAAAGCCUGAUCCAGCCAUGCCGCGUGGAUGAUGAAGGCCUUAGGGUUGUAAAGUCCUUUUAACGGGAAGAUAAUGACGGUACCCGUAGAAUAAGCCCGGCUAACUUCGUGCCAGCAGCCGC